CCAAAUAGGAAAAAUUAAUGUUUUCCUGAAGCUGACUGUCCCAUUAAUGUGUUGCUAAUCUCCAUAAAAAGAUAUUAUUAGCGUGUUCCAUUUGUACUCAAAGUCUGAAACAUUCCCCAUGACCUCGGAUUUUCAAGCUUGGAACUCAGGCAAUCGCCGAAACCCUGUGCUAAAAAUCCAACAUGGCUGCUCCGUGCAUCAACAGUUGUAAAAGCUUCAUACACGCAGCGCUGUCCAAUUUCUAUCUGUGGACAUGUUGUUACGCUGUUUGCAUGCACAAAAAAACAGUCUAACGCGUUGUUGUAAACUAGCAUUGCUAGCAAUGGCUAACCUAACUAGAGCUAAUGAAAACAAUGAAAAUCCGACUUGUAAAUGGAACGCAUUCAACUCGGGUGUGACGUCGUUCCCAGCUUCGGCUUCCGAGUUCAGAGGUAAAUGGAACGCACCAUAUGAUUUAUAAAAGACCAGACCACUGAACACUACAUCUGUUUAUUAUGCUCCAUAAUUUUCUCUCCAACAAGCCAAAUGCGAUAUUUAAAUAUAAACUACUGAGCUCAUUUCUGCAUUCUGAAAACCAACUGUGUGUAACGCAUACAGUAUGUUAUUAAAGCAUUCAGCUUAUGUACGCUGCCAAAAGUAUUAUCACACUGUUGGUUCAAUGUUUUUACUUUAGUUAAUGGUCACAAUGGUUUUUGUGCUAACAAAACGAGAAAUUCUCCUUUCUGUCUUGAUUCCCCUUCCUAGUUUUUUACUUUUAAUUUCUUCUGUUCUCCUUU
Long non-coding RNA from Sander lucioperca (pikeperch), 776 nucleotides. RefSeq lists it as uncharacterized. NCBI's taxonomy places the organism in Eukaryota, Metazoa, Chordata, Actinopteri, Perciformes, Percidae. The transcript is spliced from 3 exons. The record is from RefSeq and is a predicted model, not a curated record.